This 439-nucleotide unclassified non-coding RNA is filed under the name plant metagenome. Its description in RNAcentral is "partial contains 5.8S ribosomal RNA, internal transcribed spacer 2, and large subunit ribosomal RNA". The stretch from base 1 to 105 matches the Rfam family "5.8S ribosomal RNA", at positions 50 to 154 of the family's 154-position model. The record is from RNAcentral.
GAAACGCGAUAGGUAAUGUGAAUUGCAGAAUUCCGUGAAUCAUCGAAUCUUUGAACGCACCUUGCGCUCUAUGGUAUUCCGUAGAGCAUGCCUGUUUGAGUGCCGUGAAUUCUCCCAUCCCAAGCGGUUUUUAUCAAAGAAUUGCUAGGCGAAGGGGUUGAGAUGGCCGUUGUUAUAACUGCUUUUCUUCUCUAGAAAAGCUCGCCCGAAAAACAGCUAACGCCUCUGGGCCACUUUGCAUCCGCUUCUCUGAGGGGAGAAGCGGCCAAGCGCGCUCUGAUCAUCAGGCAUAGCAUGAUACGUCAUUUGCUAUGCUGUAGGAGAGCAUUUGGUUGUGGUUAUACCGCGUGCGUUAUUUUUUUUUUGCAAACGCAAAGAAAAAAAAGCCCCCUUUCAUUUCUGGUCUCAAAUCAGGUAGGAUCACCCGCUGAACUUAAGC